GACGAACGCUGGCGGCGUGCUUAACACAUGCAAGUCGAACGAUGAAGCCUUUCGGGGUGGAUUAGUGGCGAACGGGUGAGUAACACGUGGGCAAUCUGCCCUGUACUUUGGGAUAAGCCUUGGAAACGAGGUCUAAUACCGGAUACGAUGAAUCCUUGCAUGGGGGUUUGUUGAAAGUUCUGGCGGUACAGGAUGAGCCCGCGGCCUAUCAGCUUGUUGGUGGGGUAAUGGCCUACCAAGGCGACGACGGGUAGCCGGCCUGAGAGGGCGACCGGCCACACUGGGACUGAGACACGGCCCAGACUCCUACGGGAGGCAGCAGUGGGGAAUAUUGCACAAUGGGCGAAAGCCUGAUGCAGCGACGCCGCGUGAGGGAUGACGGCCU
Molecule: ribosomal RNA, 385 nt
Filed under: uncultured bacterium
Lineage: Bacteria
Description: bacterial SSU rRNA
Rfam family: Bacterial small subunit ribosomal RNA
Source: RNAcentral